Cercocebus atys (sooty mangabey) is the source of this 115-nucleotide small nuclear RNA. The record is from Ensembl. Lineage: Eukaryota; Metazoa; Chordata; Mammalia; Primates; Cercopithecidae.
GUGCUCACUUCGGCAACACAUAUACUAAAAUUGGCAAGAUAGAGAGAAGAUUAGCAUGUCUCCUGCACAAGGAUGAUGAGCAAAUUCAUGAGGCAUUCAUUCAUUGCAUAUUUUU